CUGCCGAGCUGCCGCCGAACCGGUUCAGAGACCAUUGCUGUUUCGGUUCAGCCGCUCUUUCUUUAGUUCGAGUUGUUGAGACUGUUGCGAAAGUGGCUUGGAGCCGAGGUUUUGACUGCCGGUGAUUUGGAGUUGAGGCGAAAAGAACUUAUGAGGCGUUUGGGUUAUGGAAUUGCCUUUUGAGGAUAUGGGCGCAGAAGUCACGAAGAGUUUAUUUAGUUGUUGUUGAGAUGCUCU
Molecule: non-coding RNA, 237 nt
Organism: Arachis ipaensis
Lineage: Eukaryota; Viridiplantae; Streptophyta; Magnoliopsida; Fabales; Fabaceae
Source: RefSeq, a predicted model, not a curated record